This 59-nucleotide transfer RNA is filed under the name Roseovarius sp. RNAcentral's name for it is "tRNA-Ile". It matches the Rfam family "tRNA", at positions 9 to 63 of the family's 71-position model. From Rfam's summary of the family: Transfer RNA (tRNA) molecules are approximately 80 nucleotides in length. Their secondary structure includes four short double-helical elements and three loops (D, anti-codon, and T loops). Lineage: Bacteria; Pseudomonadati; Pseudomonadota; Alphaproteobacteria; Rhodobacterales; Roseobacteraceae. The record is from RNAcentral.
AGCUCAAUUGGUUAGAGCAGAGCGCUCAUAACGCUUUGGUUGGGGGUUCGAGUCCCUCC